This 502-nucleotide ribosomal RNA is filed under the name bacterium enrichment culture clone ALO1_GLFRUDD03F98FT. RNAcentral describes it as "bacterial SSU rRNA". It matches the Rfam family "Bacterial small subunit ribosomal RNA", at positions 9 to 507 of the family's 1533-position model. The record is from RNAcentral.
GAGUUUGAUCCUGGCUCAGAUUGAACGCUGGCGGCAUGCCUUACACAUGCAAGUCGAACGGCAGCACGGGAGCUUGCUCCUGGUGGCGAGUGGCGAACGGGUGAGUAAUGCAUCGGAACGUACCCUGGAGUGGGGGAUAACGUAGCGAAAGUUACGCUAAUACCGCAUAUUCUGUGAGCAGGAAAGCGGGGGACCUUUCGGGCCUCGCGCUCUUGGAGCGGCCGAUGUCGGAUUAGCUAGUUGGUGAGGUAAAGGCUCACCAAGGCGACGAUCCGUAGCAGGUCUGAGAGGAUGAUCUGCCACACUGGAGCUGAGACACGGUCCAGACUCCUACGGGAGGCAGCAGUGGGAUAUUGGACAAUGGCGAAAGCCUGAUCCAGCCAUGCCGCGUGUGUGAAGAAGGUCUUCGGAUUGUAAAGCACUUUAAGUUGGGAGGAAGGGCAGUAAGUUAAUACCUUGCUGUUUGACGUUACCGACAGAAUAAGCACCGGCUAACUCUGUG